Molecule: long non-coding RNA, 3579 nt
Filed under: Homo sapiens (human)
Lineage: Eukaryota; Metazoa; Chordata; Mammalia; Primates; Hominidae
Description: non-protein coding LINC00964:11
Source: RNAcentral
AGAAGUGACAUAUGCAGCAUGACCAGUGGAAGCUUCGAAGAGCUAUUGCCAAUUUCCACCCUCUCUCUGGAAACUGUCAUUAGGGUUAGGGAAACUGUCAUGAGAUCUGCAUAUUUUAGAUAGAGGCUGCUUGCCUUAUUUGGGCACCUAAUGAAAAAGACAUGGAGGCCAGGUGCGGUGGCUCAUGUCUGUAAUCCCAGCACUUUGGGAGGCCAAGGCGAGUGGAUCACCUGAGGUCAGGAGUUCGAGACCAGCCUGACCAACAUGGCAAAACCCCGUCUGUACUAAAAGUGCAAACACAAAGGGAACUGCGUGGCUUGUUUCUACCUGAACAUUGUCAAGUGAUUUCAUCCUUUGAAACACAGUUGUGAAGUGUGUCCAGCAGUCUGAGAACAAGAAGAAGAAGAAAAUCUAAUCCUUCAGGGUGUCUGUGUGCCAGCCCUGCUCUCAGCACUUCCCAUGUGGAACUCCUUUACUUCUCCUAACAACUCCAUGACAUGGGUUAGACUGUGAUUGUUCCCAUAUUGUUGGUAGGGAAACUGAGGCAUGCAGGUGUUACAGAGCUCUCUCAAGUGGCAAGCUUUCUGGGUGGUUACAGAGUGGCAGAGCUGGGGUAUCCCAUGAUGUCACCACACUGCUAUAUGGAAAAGAACAUUAAUCGAGCACCUACGUGCUUGAUUCUCUUAAUUCUGUGACUGAACUCUCAAAACACCCUGGGUUGGUUUCCUUUUUACAACUGCCCAAGUCAUGAGUUCAUAGGGCCUGGAUGGCUGUACCGGAUUGCUCUCCAGCUGGUCUCUCUGCAUCCAGAAAUUUCUACAACCUACUGGGGUAAAAUCUUUCUCAACCCUGCUUUUCAUCAUCACAUCUUAAAUAUCUCGAGUUGGUUCCCUAUUGCCAAAAAAAAUCCAUUGUCCAUGUAGGGUUCUUCUGCCGAAACGAGGAAAGAGUGAGUUAAAUGUUGGUAGGUGAUAUAGAGAUAGUAAUUAGGCAAUAUAAUUCGAUGUUGUUGAAAGAGCUGAGCUAUGAAAUGCAUUGUGAUAAAGGGGCUGCCUGUGUAAGUAAAUGGGUAUAAUGAGGUGUAAAACUCCCUUUCUCUCUCUCUUUCUGCUUCAUAAGCCUUUCUGCUUCUCAAGUCCAGACCUGCUGUUUUUGGGGUUUCCUUCCAAUUUUUUUGCUGCUUCCCUGGGGCCUUGGCUCUUGGGCCUGCUGCCUCUUCCCACUCUACACCUUUGGAUUCCUUAUCUUUGGCUCCACCUUAUUGCUCCAUUCUCCAAAGACAAAUCCACAAGGCAUAGGAUUUUACAGAAUAUGGGGUUACAGAAACAGCAUAGGGAAGUGUAAAAGCCUAGAAGCUUCUUACAGACGCAGCCCCUUGUCUGUAGCUCCUGACUCCCACUUAAAUGUCUGUUGGAAGCACCCUGGGGUAGCAGAACCCAGCUCAGAAGAUGGGGCUUAUCCACCAUGCCUUUUCCUAACCUGACACCCACCCAGAUAAUCUUUUCAAUAUGCAAACUAGAGCGUAUCACCCCCUGCUCAGAGCCUUUCUGUGACCUCCCAUUUUGCUUCCCAGGACUCCUUGCUCCUUAGCCAGGUCUCCAGGUCCUCCGUGAUCAGGUCUCUGCUCUUCUGCAGCCUCAUCUCUGCCAUUCUUCACCUUUUGUGCUCCAACCCAAUCUGGUUUUCUUCUCAUGCUUUGAACACCCCAAGUCUGUCUGCUUCAGGAGCUUCGUACUGGCUAAUCAUUCACCACAGCAUACUCCCAUCUAUACGGCUGGCUCUUAUAUUAUGGGUCUCAGCUAAAAUGUCAUCCCUUCAAAGAGACCUUCUUGGACCACCCCCGCCAUUCUCUAUCCUAUUUCUCUCUUUUAUUUUCUUUGAAGCACUUACCCACUUUCAGAAACUAUCUGGCUUGCUCAUGUGUUUGUCUCUAGAUUGUCUACUUCCCCUCCUAGACUGUACUCUCCACAAGAGAGCAAAGCUGUGUCUGUUGCAUUCACUGUUGUCUUCCCAGAAGCAAGCAGCAUGCUGGAGACCCUCAAAUACAUGUGAAAUGAAGGGACACCUUGUGUUAUUUCACCUGUUUCCACCUGGUUCCCAAGUGGCAAGCUUGCAUUGAGGUUACAAAGUGGCAAAGCUGGGAUAUCACAUGAUGUCACCAUGAUGCUAUAUGAAAUGUAACAUUAAUUGAGUACCUAUGUGACCAGUUCUUUAAUUCUGUAAGUGAACUCUCAAAAAACCCUAGGUAAGUAUUAUCAACUCGAACUUUAACGGAUGAGGAAACUGGAAUUUUUUAAAAAAUGACUUAACCAAACAUCACAGAGCUGUAAACCAGGAUUUGAAUGGGUGAGCUGCACUCAGCCUUCAUCUCAAGUCAGUUUGCCUCUUUCUCCAAGAAGCCACAGUUGAUCCUGACCACAUCACAUAUGAGUUGCCUGGAUUGCAGUCAUUCAUUCACUAAGCAUCUUUUAGGAGGUCACAUGCCAGGCACCGUGUUAGGUAAUGAUUUCUCCAAGUCACAGGAGCCGUGGUUCUGACUUUAGAAAGUUUCUCAUCUGAUGGGAGGGCAGGCAAGUAAAUCAGUAAGGGUGGUCCCUGUCGGGACACUGGUUGAGAAAUACCCAGGAACACUCUGAUUGAGAAAUACCCAAAGUGCAAAGUGACAGGGACUAGAGGCAUCUCCACUGGACCAGAGAGCUCUGGAUUCGUCUUGAGCUAAGUCUCUGGAGGUAGGUGUCAGCUACAAGGAGAAAAGCUGUAUAUUUUGAGAUAUGGGAUGCAGGGCCUUUUAGUUCCAUAAAUAAGAGAACUAUGGUGUGAAUACCACAUGCCCUGGGCUGAACUAAGUGGGCUCUAGGGGAAGGUAUACUGGGCAGGGAGUUUGGAGAACUGGUUUCUGUCUAAUCCUUCUCUAACUCUGUGACCUUGAAUGCAUCAUUUCCCCUCUGAGUCUCAGAUUCUCUUUCUGGCUGGCAUUUAAUGAAACCUAAAUAUUCUAGACCUUCUACUUGUUCCAUAAGUGCUCAGUCCUACACUCACUCUCCUCUGGCACCAAUAUACUGAUUACUCAUUUUAUGCCCAGCAGAGCACUGCGUGUUUUGAAAUAUACAAAUAGUGGGAAACGAAAUCUUUGUUCUGGAUGCAGUUAUAAUUUGGAAAGCGAGGAAAUAAAUUAUAACAAGGGGAAAAAACAGACACAGAGGGAUUGAAAUGCAUAACAAUAGAGAUGAAACACGAAGAGUGAUAAAUGAAGAUUGAGUGUGCACACCUUCUGGAGGAGCCCUGAUUGAGUAUUUUAAAAUACUACUAAAGUCAUGCCGUGUGACUUCUGAAGCUAGCUCCUAAGAAGUCCUUGCAGCUUCUGCCUGCGACUCUUAGAACACUUGCUUUGAAGGAUGCCAGAUGCUGUCUUAAAAGUCUGAGCACUCUGAAACCAUCAUGCUGUGAGGAAGCCCAAGCUAACCACAUGGGCAAAAAAGAUGCCCUCUGACUGCCACCAUUUGAGACACUCUAAUUAAGAACUGCCUCAUUGAGCCCAUGAGGCCCUGUGAAUGAUAAUAAUAAAUUGUUUUUAACCAC